AGAGUUUGAUCAUGGCUCAGAUUGAACGCUGGCGGCAGGCUUAACACAUGCAAGUCGAGCGGGGGAAGGUAGCUUGCUACCGGACCUAGCGGCGGACGGGUGAGUAAUGCUUAGGAAUCUGCCUAUUAGUGGGGGACAACAUCUCGAAAGGGAUGCUAAUACCGCAUACGUCCUACGGGAGAAAGCAGGGGAUCUUCGGACCUUGCGCUAAUAGAUGAGCCUAAGUCGGAUUAGCUAGUUGGUGGGGUAAAGGCCUACCAAGGCGACGAUCUGUAGCGGGUCUGAGAGGAUGAUCCGCCACACUGGGACUGAGACACGGCCCAGACUCCUACGGGAGGCAGCAGUGGGGAAUAUUGGACAAUGGGGGGAACCCUGAUCCAGCCAUGCCGCGUGUGUGAAGAAGGCCUUAUGGUUGUAAAGCACUUUAAGCGAGGAGGAGGCUACUUUAGUUAAUACCUAGAGAUAGUGGACGUUACUCGCAGAAUAAGCACCGGCUAACUCUGUGCCAGCAGCCGCGGUAAUACAGAGGGUGCGAGCGUUAAUCGGAUUUACUGGGCGUAAAGCGUGCGUAGGCGGCUUAUUAAGUCGGAUGUGAAAUCCCCGAGCUUAACUUGGGAAUUGCAUUCGAUACUGGUGAGCUAGAGUAUGGGAGAGGAUGGUAGAAUUCCAGGUGUAGCGGUGAAAUGCGUAGAGAUCUGGAGGAAUACCGAUGGCGAAGGCAGCCAUCUGGCCUAAUACUGACGCUGAGGUACGAAAGCAUGGGGAGCAAACAGGAUUAGAUACCCUGGUAGUCCAUGCCGUAAACGAUGUCUACUAGCCGUUGGGGCCUUUGAGGCUUUAGUGGCGCAGCUAACGCGAUAAGUAGACCGCCUGGGGAGUACGGUCGCAAGACUAAAACUCAAAUGAAUUGACGGGGGCCCGCACAAGCGGUGGAGCAUGUGGUUUAAUUCGAUGCAACGCGAAGAACCUUACCUGGCCUUGACAUACUAGAAACUUUCCA
Molecule: ribosomal RNA, 1000 nt
Filed under: Acinetobacter baumannii NIPH 146
Lineage: Bacteria; Pseudomonadati; Pseudomonadota; Gammaproteobacteria; Moraxellales; Moraxellaceae
Description: bacterial SSU rRNA
Rfam family: Bacterial small subunit ribosomal RNA
Source: RNAcentral